UUUUUAUUUUUUUAUUCAUGAGAGACACAGAGAGAGAGGCAGAGAUAUAGGCAGAAGGAGAAGCAGACUCCCUGCCAGGAGUUCGAUGCAGGACUCAAUUCCAGGACCCUGGGAUCACACCCUGAGCUAAAGGCAGAUGCUCAAUCACUGAGCCACCCAGGUGUCCCUGACAAGUUCUUUACAGACCUUGGACAGUACCCCUUUAUCUGAUAUGUCAUUUGCAAAUAUCUUCUCCCAUUCCAUAGGUCUUUUAGUUUUGAUGACUGUUUCCUUUUGCUAUGCAAAAGCUUUUUAUCUUGAUGAAGUCCUAAUAGUUCAUUUUUGCUUUUGUUUCCAUGGCCUUUGGAGACGUGUCUAGCAAGAAGUUGCUGCAGCCAAAGAUGAAAAGGUUGCUGCCUAUAUUCUCCUCCAUGAUUUUGAUUGAUUCCUGUCUCACAGUUAGCUCUUUCACCCAUUCUGAGUUUAUCUGUGUGUAUGGCAUAAGAAAAUGGUCUUCUGCAUGUGGCUGUCCGAUUUUCCUGACACCAUUUGUUGAAGAGACUUUUUUCCAUUGGAUAUUCUUUCCUGCUUUGUCAAAGAUUAGUUGACCAUAGACUUGAGGGUCCAUUUCUGAGUUCUCUAUUCUGUUCCACUGAUUUAUGUGUCUGUUUUUGUGCCAGUACCAUACUAUCUCGAGCAGUCUACACAUUCAAUGCAAUCCCUACCAAAUACCACCAAUAUUUUUCACAGAACUGGAACAAAUCCUAAAAUAUGUAUGGAACCAGAAAAUACCCCAAUUAGCCAGAGGAAUGCUGAAAAAGGAAACUAGAGCUUGGGGCAUCACAAUUCUGGACUUCAAGCUACACACUAAAGCUGUAAUAUGAAGUAGAUAUUUUCUAGAGUAUUAUUUUAGUUCCUUGUUUGAUUUUUUUUACUUUAUCUUUUAAGUUAUUUUUAAGUCUUUUAAAUUGUCUUCUAAGUCAGAAAAAAAAACAUAUACUGUCUUUUGUAUUUACCUACAUAAUUAAUUACAGGUACUCUGUUUCUUCAUGUGAAUUCAAGUUAUCAUCUGGUGUCAUUCCUUUCCAACACAAAGGAUUUUCUUUACUAUUUCUGAUAAGGCAGGUCUGCUGGAAACAAGUUCUCUCAGCCUUUGUUUAUCUGAAAAUAUCUUUAUUCACCUUCUUUUAUGAAGAAUAAUUUUGCUCUAUAUGGAAUUCUUAGUUGAUAGGUUUUUGUCUUUCAUCACUUUGAAUAUGUCAUUAUAUUGCCUCUGGCCUCUGUUGACCUUGAUGAGACGUCACUUAUUAAUCCUACUCUGGUUCUUCUGUAUGUAAUGAGUUGUUUUACUCUUGCUCCUCUUAAAUUGUUUGUGUUGCGUUUUUAACUAUUUGACUAUGAUGUGUCUAAAUAUGGAUUUCUUUGUGUGAAUUUAUCCUACUUGUAGUUCACUGAGCUUCUUGGAUAUGUAGAAUAAUUUUUUAAUUAAAUUGGGAAAGUUGUGGGCUGUUAAUCCUUCAAAUGUUGUUUCUUCCCCCUUUCUCUCUCUCAUCUUUUUUCUGAGACCCGCAUUAAGUAUGAAUUGAUAUGUUUAAUAGUCACCUGCAAGUUCUUUUUCCUUUAUUUUUCUUCCUGUUUCAAAAUUGGAUAAUUGCUAUUUAUCUAUCUUGAAGUUUACUAAUUCUUUCUUCUAAUGUCUUAAAUUGGCUCUUGAGUGUUCUUAGUGAACUUUCUUCUUCCACUAUUGAAUUUUUCAACUCCAGAAUUCCCAUGUUUCUUUUUUAAAAAUAAUUUCUCUUUGUUGAUAUUCUAUAUUUACUGAGUCAUUGUCAAUAUGCUUUCCUUUAAUUUUUCAAAUGUGGUUUCUUUUAGCUCUAACAUUUAUAUUAGCUAUUUUGAAGUCUUUUUCUACUUUAAACAGCCGCCUCAGAGAUAGUUUCUAUUGACUACUAUUUUUUCCUAUAUCUAUAGGUCACAUUUUCCUACUUCUUUUCACGUCUCAUAAUUUCUUGAUUGAAAAAUUGACAGUUUAGAUAACAUGUACCAGGAAUAAUAUUUUAAAUGCUUUUCAUAUUACUUUAUAAAAUUAAUUAUUUGAUUAUUUGGUUGUUAAGCAUUUUACACUUAGUUAAAACAGUUUUUCCUCUAUUGUAAAUAUCAUGAUAAAGAAUUAAUGAGACAAAACAUCUAACUUCUUUUUAAAAAAAAUUAUGUUUUCUUUGAUUUAUAUAAAAUAGAAGUAAAUCAAAGGGCACCUGGGUGGGUGGUGCAGUCAGUUAAGUGUCUGACUCUUGGUUUUGGCUCAGGUCAUGAUCUUAGAGUCAUGACAUUGAGCCCCAUGGAGUUUGCCUGGGAUUCUCUCUCCCUCUCCCUCUGCCCCUCUGGCCUGUGUACUCU
Molecule: long non-coding RNA, 2376 nt
Filed under: Canis lupus familiaris (dog)
Lineage: Eukaryota; Metazoa; Chordata; Mammalia; Carnivora; Canidae
Description: lncRNA (ENSCAFG00845007093.1)
Source: RNAcentral